This 1005-nucleotide ribosomal RNA is filed under the name Triticum aestivum (bread wheat). RNAcentral's name for it is "partial small subunit ribosomal RNA". The record is from RNAcentral. Lineage: Eukaryota; Viridiplantae; Streptophyta; Magnoliopsida; Poales; Poaceae.
AUGCCUCCCCCGCCGCCGUCCCUCGCCGCCAAGGUCCAGCGCUUCUUCAGCUUCGCGGCGGCGCGGGACCGCUGCUUCAACCGGCGGUUCCUCGCCGCCGGCCUCCGCCCGGUCACCAUCCAGCUCCCCGACUCGGCGCACCCGGUCUCCGUCCAGCUCCCCGACUCGGCGGAACCCGUCACCACCGUCCACAUGUGGGUCCCCGCCAGGCCGCCACGCAACCCCCUGGUCCUCCUCCACGGCUUCGGCGCGUCCGCCACGUGGCAGUGGUACCCCUACCUCCGCCCCCUCAUCGCCGCCGGCUUCGACCCCAUCGUCCCCGACCUCCUCUUCUUCGGCAACUCCACCACCCGCCUCUCCGAUCGCUCCGACACAUUCCAGGCGUGGGCGAUGAAAACGGCGCUGGAGGCGAUCGGGGUGACCAAGUUUGGGCUGGUUGGGGUGAGCUAUGGAGGGUUCGUGGGGUACAGGAUGGCGGCGAUGUACCCGGACGCCGUGGAGAGGGUGACUAUGGUGUGCGCCGGCGUUUGCCUGGAGGAGAAGGACCUCGCGGAGGGCCUGUUCCCGGUGGCCGGGGUCGAUGAGGCGGCAGCGCUGCUUGUGCCGCGGCGGCCGGAGGAGGUGCGGCGCCUGGUCAGGCUCACAUUCGUCCGACCGCCGAUCAUCAUGCCGUCGUGCUUCCUUUGGGACUACAUUAAGGUGAUGGGCUCAGACCAUAUCGAGGAGAAGACUGAGCUACUACACGCUUUGAUUAGUGGGAGGCAAAUUUCGACUCUUCCAACACUGCGUCAGAAGACGCUGAUAAUUUGGGGGGAGCAAGAUAAGGUGUUCCCGAUGGAAUUGGCUCACAGAUUGAAGAGGCAUCUGGAUGGGAACUCUCGGUUGGCAGUCAUACACAACGCUGGGCACGCUGUCAAUCUCGAGAAGCCUGCAGAGGUAUGCAAGAGCGUCAUCGAGUUUUUCCAAGAGCCAAUCCCCGAAGCUUCAAACGACGAAAGGGUGUAG